Molecule: ribosomal RNA, 612 nt
Filed under: Cicindela (Rivacindela) sp. JP-70
Lineage: Eukaryota; Metazoa; Arthropoda; Insecta; Coleoptera; Carabidae
Description: partial 16S ribosomal RNA
Rfam family: Bacterial large subunit ribosomal RNA
Source: RNAcentral
UUUAAGGUCUAACCUGCCCAAUGAGGAUUUAAAUGGCCGCAGUAUUUUGACUGUGCAAAGGUAGCAUAAUUAUUAGUUUUUUAAUUGAAAGCUUGUAUGAAGGGUUGGACGAGAUAAAAUCUGUCUUUAUUUAAAUCAAAGUAUAAUUUAACUUUUAAGUCAAAAGGCUUAAAUGUUUAUAAAAGACGAGAAGACCCUAUAGAUCUUUAUUUAAUUAAGAUUUUAAUAAUUUAGGAUUAUUUUAAUUUGGAGUUUUAAUUAAAUUUUAUUGGGGUAAUAUAAAGAUUAAAUAAAUUCUUUUUAUUUAUAACAUUAAUUUAUGAAUAUAUGAUCCAUUAAUAUUGAUUAUAAGAUUAAGUUACCUUAGGGAUAACAGCGUAAUUUUUUUGGAGAGCCCAUAUCGAUAAGAAAGUUUGCGACCUCGAUGUUGGAUUAAAAAUUAGCUUGGGUGCAGAAGCUCAAGAUUUUGGUCUGUUCGACCAUUAAAUUUUUACAUGAUCUGAGUUCAGACCGGCGUAAGCCAGGUCGGUUUCUAUCUUUAUUUAGAUAAAAUAUUUUAGUACGAAAGGACCAAGUAUUUAAUAUAAUUAUAUUUAUUUUUUGAAGAAUAUU